Leptonychotes weddellii (Weddell seal) is the source of this 1161-nucleotide long non-coding RNA. RefSeq lists it as uncharacterized. NCBI's taxonomy places the organism in Eukaryota, Metazoa, Chordata, Mammalia, Carnivora, Phocidae. The record is from RefSeq and is a predicted model, not a curated record.
CGCCGGCCGCGCCAUGGGGGAGGGGCGGGGCGGGCCGCGCGAGACCCGGGAAACAUGGCUGCUCGUCCUAUUUCGGCGUCGCGGCGUGGCCACCAGCCCCCGGAUCCGAGUUGGGAGAGGCUCCGAAGAGGCUCCCGCGCCGGCGGAAUUCAAUCAAUAAACCCCGAACCCACGGCCGCGCGUUUUAGGACUUUGAAGGCUCAACCAGCUCCGCUCGGUUCUCGAGCCCCCAGCACCCGCGGCGCACACUAACCUGAUCACGGUGGAGGCGGGACCUGCGGUUCGGCGGAUGAGCGGCAACAGCUGGAGCCAAUCGCUGCCGAGGGUGUCCGGGCAACAGCCAAUGGUGGCGGCGGCGGGGGGGGAAGGGACCAAUGGGCGGGCUGCGCAGCCGGCCAGGGAGGCUCAGCCAUUUGGUUGUGGUGCCGGAGACGGACCCCUUUAGAUUUCGGGGCGGCUGAAGAUCGCGGCGGCUGCUUGGUGGCUGAGCUAGGGGGGUGGGCAGAAUGGCGGGGGAAGGGAAGGUGACUGCGCCUGGAGGGCCGAGCCGCUCGGCCUCGCCAGCCUGCCGCCGCCUCAGCGUUUGGCCGGGGGCGGGGCCGCAGGUGCGUUACUCGAGGGGGAGGGGCGCGGCCGGAGGGGUCGGGGUCGGGGUCCUCGCCCGGCCGAGGGCUUCGCAGGGCCGUCCUGGGCCUGUCCGCGUCGCUGGACCGGGUUGGCUAAAGAGGCGGGCGGCGCGAGAUCUGGGGGCCCCGGGGCUGCCCGGCGGCCGAGCGGGCGGAUGAAAGGCCUGGAAAGAGGGGGAGGGGUCAAGGGUGCAGUGGGGGGAGGGGCUGGUCACUUUCUGGGUCCGGCGGGCCGAGCUGGUAGAGCGUGGCUGCUGCCUUCCUCUUCCUCCGCGGGUACCCACCCCGGGGCUGCGGCUCACGGCCCGCGCGCCCCUUCGCCUCGUCCUCGUCCAGCCGCGGCCAUCGCCGCCCCUCUAAUAAACAAGUAAAUGAAAGCAAGAUGCGUCCACCUUUGGAUGACUUUCCUCGCGGUCUUGACCCUCUCCACGGAGGGGCAUUUCAGUUUGCUGUCAUAUAAGGUCAGCCUGGAAGGAGCGAUCACCAGGAGGCACCCAGGAUCUUGUUCAGUCAAUAAAUGAAUGAAGACCAUGGA